This 467-nucleotide ribosomal RNA is filed under the name uncultured bacterium. RNAcentral describes it as "partial 16S ribosomal RNA". It matches the Rfam family "Bacterial small subunit ribosomal RNA", at positions 29 to 507 of the family's 1533-position model. The record is from RNAcentral.
ACGAACGCUGGCGGCGUGCUUAACACAUGCAAGUCGCACGGAAAGGCCCUGCUUUUGUGGGGUGCUCGAGUGGCGAACGGGUGAGUAACACGUGAGUAACCUGCCCUUGACUUUGGGAUAACUUCAGGAAACUGGGGCUAAUACCGGAUAGGAGCUCCUGCUGCAUGGUGGGGGUUGGAAAGUUUCGGCGGUUGGGGAUGGACUCGCGGCUUAUCAGCUUGUUGGUGGGGUAGUGGCUUACCAAGGCUUUGACGGGUAGCCGGCCUGAGAGGGUGACCGGCCACAUUGGGACUGAGAUACGGCCCAGACUCCUACGGGAGGCAGCAGUGGGGAAUAGUGCACAAUGGGCGGAAGCCUGAUGCAGCAACGCCGCGUGCGGGAUGACGGCCUUCGGGUUGUAAACCGCUUUCGCCUGUGACGAAGCGUGAGUGACGGUAAUGGGUAAAGAAGCACCGGCUAACUACGUG